Molecule: small nuclear RNA, 107 nt
Filed under: Cervus elaphus hippelaphus
Lineage: Eukaryota; Metazoa; Chordata; Mammalia; Artiodactyla; Cervidae
Also listed under: 1 other name
Source: RNAcentral
GUGCUCGCUUUGGCAGCAUAUAUACUAAAAUUGGAACGAUACAGAGAAGAUUAGCAUGGCCCCUGUGCAAGGAUGACAUGCAAAUUCAUGAAGCAUUCCAUAUUUAA